Molecule: long non-coding RNA, 263 nt
Filed under: Panax ginseng (ginseng)
Lineage: Eukaryota; Viridiplantae; Streptophyta; Magnoliopsida; Apiales; Araliaceae
Description: long non-coding RNA (PGIN_LNC002246)
Source: RNAcentral
GAUGAAUGGGUAGUAUACCCAUAAUUCGGAUAUAUUUAGACUUAAAUUAUUGCAUUCUUAAGUUAUUUAGUAGCAUUUUUAUUGUGUUUAUAUCUUGUUUGGCAGAUUUGGAAGCUGGAAGGGCAAUUAUGGGAAUUUCAAGCAUUGAAUGGCAAUUUGGUAAUUUCAAUGAAGUCCAGCGUCGGGGCGCUGGAAAUUGUACUAUCCUCAGCGCCGGGGCGCUGAGCCUCGGCUGGCGUUGACCGGAUUAGCGCGUUGGACUU